AUUGAACGCUGGCGGCAGGCCUAACACAUGCAAGUCGAGCGGAUGAAGGGAGCUUGCUCCUGGAUUCAGCGGCGGACGGGUGAGUAAUGCCUAGGAAUCUGCCUGGUAGUGGGGGAUAACGUCCGGAAACGGGCGCUAAUACCGCAUACGUCCUGAGGGAGAAAGUGGGGGAUCUUCGGACCUCACGCUAUCAGAUGAGCCUAGGUCGGAUUAGCUAGUUGGUGGGGUAAAGGCCUACCAAGGCGACGAUCCGUAACUGGUCUGAGAGGAUGAUCAGUCACACUGGAACUGAGACACGGUCCAGACUCCUACGGGAGGCAGCAGUGGGGAAUAUUGGACAAUGGGCGAAAGCCUGAUCCAGCCAUGCCGCGUGUGUGAAGAAGGUCUUCGGAUUGUAAAGCACUUUAAGUUGGGAGGAAGGGCAGUAAGUUAAUACCUUGCUGUUUUGACGUUACCAACAGAAUAAGCACCGGCGAACUUCGUGC
Molecule: ribosomal RNA, 485 nt
Filed under: uncultured bacterium
Lineage: Bacteria
Description: partial 16S ribosomal RNA
Rfam family: Bacterial small subunit ribosomal RNA
Source: RNAcentral